GAUUAUUGAGAAAGUUUUGAUAUAUUAUUAAGGAAGCUUUGAUGGAUUACUAAGGAAGCUUUAAUGGAUUCUUGAAGAAGCUUGGAUAGAUUCUUAAGGAAGUUUUGAAAAACUUAUGGAGGAAGCUUUUGAACUCUAUAAAUAAACCAUUCCCCUCCACGUUUUGGAACACACAACAUACUCAUACACCACCUAUACCCAUACACCACCUAUAUACACCACAUAAUUGAGAGAAGACGAGUUAUAGAUUUUGUCAAACUUUACGUACCUUAUGCAUUAGAAUUUUGAUCUACCAUUUGUGGAGAUCCAUGGAGAAAUAUCGAUGGAUUAGAGUGUUGGCAACGGAGAAGAUUGAUUUAAGGUAUGGAGCAAAUUUGGUGAUUGGAGUUGAAGAAUUUAAAGAACUUAUUAAGUUAGAGAUUUGGGGACCACCCCUAUAUAUCUUUUUUUUGGAGAUUUAUAUAAAUUAUAGACAUUUGUAUAAUUAUUUUGGAGACAAUUUAUAUUUUUUGAGAUUAUUAAUUAA
Camellia sinensis is the source of this 526-nucleotide long non-coding RNA. RefSeq lists it as uncharacterized. The record is from RefSeq and is a predicted model, not a curated record. NCBI's taxonomy places the organism in Eukaryota, Viridiplantae, Streptophyta, Magnoliopsida, Ericales, Theaceae.